UUUGUCAUUAUGGGGUAUUGUGUGUAGAUGAGAAAAAAACAACAAUUGAAUAAAUGUUAAAAUAAGGCUGUAAUGUAACAAAAUGUGGAAAUAGUCAAGAGGUCUGAAUACUUUUUGAAUGCACUGUAUACCGUAUAUUCUUUUGGCGAAACAUUUAAUGGGUAGUUGCAGUAGUUAAUUACUUUUUUGCCAUGUUGCAGUGUAGCUAACUACUGAAAAGACUACGAAGAUUUGAAUUUCGGUAAACUACCACCAAGCUACUGCAAAAUGUAGGUAAAUGACUAUUUCAAUGACAUAGUGGAACUACUCCCAAACACUGUCUGUUUUCAACUCGACAGCACAACUUUGGAAAAUAUGUUGCUGUUUGAGGAGGUCUCUUAUUACCUCAUCAUACAAACUAUAAUAAAUAUCUUGUCAUUCAAAAUAUGAGAAGUCUCUUAUACAAACUAUAGUUUAAAUAAGGAAUCUCUUGUCAAGCAAACUAUAAGGAACAAAUGUCAACUAUAGAAUACCGAUGCAACAUCCACACAUUUGGCAGAUUUUGCGUAGAAAAUAUUUACCGGCACCAUUUAGCUACUGCUCACACAUACUGUAGCAGGAAUAUGUGUAGACUUAACACUUGUAUGACAGGCAUCCUGUAUGUACAACUUCAUCAGCAUUCUGUGGUUGAGCUUUCCUUUAAAAUGCAUGCUUUUGAUUGGGUGUUGCGGAGGAUCACAGAGGUUGAUGUGGUUGAGGUCGAUUUCAGAUCUAACCAAAACCCUUGUCUUGCUGGAGGUGUUCACAGAAGCUAGAUGCAGAGUUGUUACCGAUUCUCCCAUCGAUUGCACCAGAAGUCGCUCUGGAUAAGUGUGUGCUAAAUGACUCAAAUGUAAUGUACAAUGUCAUUUCGAUGUCUGAAGGUGUGUCGUACUUGGCUCCCCUUGUGGUCAACGUCCAGGGCUUGGGUCUUCACCUUGGUCUCCAGCAGGGUCAGCCUCUGUAUCAUGGAGGGCAUCAGCUCAAAAUCACUAUGGGGUGCACCUGGAGGGUUCAGUCAGAAUUCACUAGAUCAGGCAGCGUAAUACCUCUAUAAUAAAGGCUACUGUAUGACACUCGGCAGAUGUUUUUUUCUUCUCCAAAGCGUCUUACGGUACAGUGAUGCAUACAUUGUUGCUGAUUCUGAGAACACUCUGUUUCAAUGUUCCUGUACAUUAUCAGAAACUGACAUUUGUGACCACAGUGCUGUAUUAAGAAAAUGAGACACUUUAUUUUGUGGUCCAUGCACACAACAUACUAAUCUAACAACCAUGCAUGAGAUUUCCAGUGUUAUCGAAGUUGUAUGUGCUCACAGCACUUAUUUUGAACAUGACGGAUGUGACGUUGGUUGUGGUUGUGAAUAUUUCAGCACAGGGCAAGUUGCAAGGACAUCAAAGGAACAUACAAAAGGAGUUGCUUUUCCUUUGUUUGGCCUUUGAUUUGGAAGGACAGGCAAUAUCAGUGGCUUGAGUCUGAGGCGUAGGGUGAUUCAAAGAAGAUACAUCAUUCAGCAGAGUAGCUUCAUAUUCUAAAGAAAAAAUUUAAAAAGGAAAAAAAACAACCAGAAUGACCCCAGGUUUUUAAAGAACUAUAUCCAGAGGCAGCUUAGGUUUCAAAUCAUUGGAUAUCUCAUAGUUAGACUAUAGCAGGAUUCCCCAACUGGCGGCCCGCUGGACAAAUUCGGCCCGUGGGUGAUUUUAUUUGGCCAUCCAAGUUUUAUGAGCAAUAAAUAAUACUAAAAUGUUUUUUUAUUUUUGUUGUUGGUCAUAAACGACUAAAAACACCAGCAAAUCAGAUCCAAGUGAUUUUCAUUUUGGAAAUCUAUUCCAAAGUAUCCCCACGCACCAUAGAGAGAUAUGUGAUCGUAUACAAAUGUAAACAAGGUUUGAAAUUAUUAUGAUUAGUAAAACAGUAUAUCUUCUUGUGGUCAAUUUGCAGUCUACAAAUGAUUUGCAAUAUGUUCUGCCCCCCUGACCAUCUGCUCUAGAAAAGAAUAUGCUUUUAAACACCUUAAUUCCAUACCUGCAAAUGGAUUCUCCUUGAAAGGCACUCAUCUCUUAUUUGAGCAAAAUUAUCAAUCAUCAGUAACGCAAAUAAACAUGUACAUCCAUCUAAUUGCUAUACUUUUUGUUUUGGAAAAGAUCCACUUUGUUUUCUCUCGAACAUACCCAUGAUGAUUCAUGGGCCCAGGAAGAGGAACCCAUCAGUUUUUCCCCAACAUUGAAAGUGGUGAGCUCAUCUCCUCACAUUCAUAAAACACCUGGGGUCGAUAGGAUGCACAAAUGGCUAGCAGACUAGUUUACAGAGGUCAGUUUGUGAUUCAACAAUGAACGUAAAAAAUACAAUAUUUAUGAGCACCUGGCUGACAUUGACAUGGUUUACAUGCAAGCACAUAGCAGCUAAAAACGCUAAAUAAAUGUCCUGAAAGUCUACACUUGGUUCAGUUAUUAGACUUAAUAAACAAAAGUAACUUUUAUUUGCCAUGCUAGGAAUUUAUAAAUGACUUACAAGUGAAUGGCUCUAGAUUCCGUAGGUUGGAAUAUUAUUACUAAAUGAUUGUUUGGAGUUCAUUGCGAUUGGUAACGUGGAUCGUGACAUUUCAGUGGCUUGUUGCUGGUUCCAGAAUUCAAUGCACCCUCGUUCCCACUGUGAAGAACACGCCAAAGGGAUACGUUGUAAUUCAAAGUAUGACAUUGUAAUCAUCCAUCGACAAACCUUGACAUAGAUUGAACGAUGGAUCCAAACACCAGUCUACUUUUUUAUUUCAAAAGUUGUCACACACAUGACUGUAAAACAAAUAUCUGUUCUUGUGCACAUACAGUCAUAGUGCACACACCCCUUUCACACCCAUCCUCUUCUAGCUGAAAUAGACACAGAUACACUUUUGCUGUUCAGAGACUCAACCCUAUUCAACAUGAACAAAGCUCUGGUCUGUGCUGUCUUCAUCUUUCUGGUGUUUUCUGUGUUCACAGAGGCCAUGGAGGGGAAUGCUGAUCCCCCAAAGGACAAGGCAUCGGGGGCAAGCACCUUGACUCUUCCGUUUUUGCUGCAGUUGGGGCUGAUGGUUGCACCUGCCUUAUUUCAAACUCUGCUGUAGCACUUGCUAUGCUCUCCUUCCACAAGACUCUGCAGAACUUCUGCAAGAACGGGGGCAACAACAUAACAAUAGCUUUAAUGACUAGGCCUACUAUAUUUACCUGUACUGUAGACCCUAGCUGACCCGUUUCCAUGAUUGAACACCAUGAAAUUCUUAACCCAAAUGAUCUUGUAAUAAUCAUACAGAAACAGAAAUAAAGUUGUGUAUCUACA
Long non-coding RNA from Salmo salar (Atlantic salmon), 3327 nucleotides. RefSeq lists it as uncharacterized. Lineage: Eukaryota; Metazoa; Chordata; Actinopteri; Salmoniformes; Salmonidae. The record is from RefSeq and is a predicted model, not a curated record.